CAUGUGCUGUGCAGAGGCAGCUGUGGAGGUGCUGCUUCCUGCGGCUCCCACGACGAGCCGCCUGGCGCUCCCACCACGCACGAGCGGCCUUGCGUCUGCCUCGAUGGGGCCUCGGGUGGGGCCGGACGGGCUGGUGCAGCGCAUGGGUGCAGGGAGCAUGCAGGUGGAGACGCACUGGCUCCCGGGGCAGCCUCUGGUUUGAAGCAGGUUUGCCUUCUCCACCAGGUGCCUCCUGGGAAGCCCGGGCAGAUGGUCCUCGGAGGAAGAAGCUCUGGGGCUGGUGCGGGCCUGGGCCUCUCUCCGGAGGGUGUGGGUGCACCGGCUGUGGGCGUCCUCCUCGUGCGGCCGAUGUCCCCAGGGCGCCGGAGCCUGUGGAACCCAGAUAGGAGGGUCCUCCUCCUUCACCCACACCCGGACCCCGGACAGGUGCUGGGGUGCAGGGGGGAGGGCACCCAGGGCGGGAGGGGUCAGGGGUAGGGGGACACCAGGGUAGGAGGGCACCCCAGCUGGGAGGGCACCAGGGGCGGGAGGAGGAGCCCGGGGGCCCCCUGGUGGUUGUGGCGUGGCCGCUGAGGUCCCUGGAGACACAAGCAGGGGUCCAUGACCAUGUCCCCCACCCAGCUGCCUGGAGCCCCCUCCCGCCAUUGCCCGUCGUGCCCAGGGCCCACCCUUCCAGGUCCUCCUCCAGGACAAGCAGACGGAAGAUUCCAGGAGGAAGGAUAGAGACGGAGGAGGUGGAGGGGGUGACGGGUACGGGGGCAGCCUCAUGUGCUCACGCGGGGAGGGAUGCACCCGGGGGCUGCUGGUAGGAGACCUUGGCAUCGCUCCUAAACCCAGGGUCCUCUAACCCCUUUGCUCACCUGUGUCUCACACCUGCAGCCUGUGAACAUGCUCGGCGCCCCCCUCUCCUGUUCCUGAGCCCCGGGGUAGACAGGCCUGUGCCUACCCCCAAGGGGUCCUGCGCCGUCUGGCUGAGGGUCGGAGGGCAGUGGGUGAGAUGGGGCGCUGCAUUCCCUGCAGGGCUGUCCUCAGCGUCUGUAGGCCCGGCUCCCCAACUGUGGGCAGCAUGGGGGGUGGGGUGAGGGGCGGCCCAGAGAGAGAAGGAGACCUGCUCGACUACAGUGUGGCUGAGGGCUGUGCAGGGGAGGACAGGGGAGGACGGGGCGCAGG
This 1170-nucleotide long non-coding RNA is filed under the name Canis lupus familiaris (dog). RNAcentral's name for it is "lncRNA (ENSCAFG00845007478.1)". Lineage: Eukaryota; Metazoa; Chordata; Mammalia; Carnivora; Canidae. The record is from RNAcentral.